This 431-nucleotide ribosomal RNA is filed under the name uncultured bacterium. RNAcentral describes it as "partial 16S ribosomal RNA". It matches the Rfam family "Bacterial small subunit ribosomal RNA", at positions 29 to 507 of the family's 1533-position model. The record is from RNAcentral.
AACGAACGCUGGCGGCAGGCCUAACACAUGCAAGUCGAGCGCCCUUUCGGGGGAGCGGCGGACGGGUGAGUACCGCGUGGGAAUAUGCCCUUCUCUACGGAAUAGCCUCGGGAAACUGAGAGUAAUACCGUAUACGCCCUGUGGGGGAAAGAUUUAUCGGGGAAGGAUUAGCCCGCGUUGGAUUAGGUAGUUGGUAGGGUAAUGGCCUACCAAGCCGACGAUCCAUAGCUGGUUUGAGAGGAUGAUCAGCCACACUGGGACUGAGACACGGCCCAGACUCCUACGGGAGGCAGCAGUGGGGAAUCUUAGACAAUGGGGGCAACCCUGAUCUAGCCAUGCCGCGUGAGUGAUGAAGGCCUUAGGGUUGUAAAGCUCUUUCAGCUGGGAAGAUAAUGACGGUACCAGCAGAAGAAGCCCCGGCUAACUCCGUG